RNAcentral lists this microRNA precursor (191 nucleotides) under Drosophila guanche. Lineage: Eukaryota; Metazoa; Arthropoda; Insecta; Diptera; Drosophilidae. The record is from RNAcentral.
GAGGAAAACUAUCUACAAAGAUCUCUUUUUCUCUUUCUUUCUCUCUCUCUCUCUCUAUCUGUGUGUGUCUGCGACAUGAGACGAUCGACAUGCAAUGGCUUAUCUUGAUUAAAGAUUAAAGACCAGAAAGAUACAGAUAGAUAGAGAGAGAGAGAGAGAGAGAGAGAGGGAGGGAGGCAAAACAGAGACUC